UAGGGAAUCUUCGGCAAUGGGGGGAACCCUGACCGAGCAACGCCGCGUGAGUGAAGAAGGUUUUCGGAUCGUAAAGCUCUGUUGUUAAGGAAGAACGAGUGUGAGAAUGGAAAGUUCAUGCUGUGACGGUACUUAACCAGAAAGGGACGGCUAACUACGUGCCAGCAGCCGCGGUAAUACGUAGGUCCCGAGCGUUGUCCGGAUUUAUUGGGCGUAAAGCGAGCGCAGGCGGUUAGAUAAGUCUGAAGUUAAAGGCAGUGGCUCAACCAUUGUAGGCUUUGGAAACUGUGUAACUUGAGUGCAGAAGGGGAGAGUGGAAUUCCAUGUGUAGCGGUGAAAUGCGUAGAUAUAUGGAGGAACACCGGUGGCGAAAGCGGCUCUCUGGACUGUAACUGACGCUGAGGCUCGAAAGCGUGGGGAGCGAACAGG
This 429-nucleotide ribosomal RNA is filed under the name Bacteroidota bacterium. Its description in RNAcentral is "Bacteroidetes bacterium partial 16S ribosomal RNA". It matches the Rfam family "Bacterial small subunit ribosomal RNA", at positions 355 to 776 of the family's 1533-position model. Lineage: Bacteria; Pseudomonadati; Bacteroidota. The record is from RNAcentral.